AAUCAACGCUGGCGGCGUGCCUCAGACAUGCAAGUCGAACGAUUAAACUUCCCUUCGGGGAAGAUAUAAAGUGGCGCACGGGUGAGUAACACGUAGGUAAUGUACCUUUGGGUGGGGAAUAACUUAGGGAAACUUAAGCUAAUACCGCAUAAUGCAGCGGCUCCUUCGGGAGACAGUUGUUAAAGAUUUAUCGCCUAAAGAGCAGCCUGCGGCAGAUUAGCUAGUUGGUAAGGUAACGGCUUACCAAGGCUACGAUCUGUAUCCGACCUGAGAGGGUGGUCGGACACACUGACACUGAAUAACGGGUCAGACUCCUACGGGAGGCAGCAGUAGGGAAUUUUGGGCAAUGGGCGAAAGCCUGACCCAGCAACGCCGCGUGAAGGAUGAAGUCUUUCGGGAUGUAAACUUCGUAAGAAUAGGAAGAAUAAAUGACGGUACUAUUUGUAAGGUCCGGCUAACUACGUG
This 465-nucleotide ribosomal RNA is filed under the name uncultured bacterium. RNAcentral's name for it is "partial 16S ribosomal RNA". It matches the Rfam family "Bacterial small subunit ribosomal RNA", at positions 32 to 507 of the family's 1533-position model. The record is from RNAcentral.